Stomoxys calcitrans (stable fly) is the source of this 366-nucleotide long non-coding RNA. RefSeq lists it as uncharacterized. The transcript is spliced from 2 exons. The record is from RefSeq and is a predicted model, not a curated record. NCBI's taxonomy places the organism in Eukaryota, Metazoa, Arthropoda, Insecta, Diptera, Muscidae.
AAUUUUAAUGGCACCUUGAAGAUUUCGUAGGAAUUUUGUGAGAUGCGGAUGUGAAGACAAUUAAAACUCCUUUACAUUUGCCAUUUGGAUUCCAAGGUGCAGUGAAACGUAAUAUAUAGCCACUCCUGCAUAAUUGUCAACCUUGCCGACUAGUGCUGGAACCUGUUUUAGGCACUUGGAGGAAAUGUUCCUUGGAGGAAAUGUUUAGGAACACCACACAGCUGAUGGCAGUUCCGGAGACCCUUUUAUUUUUGGGUAGUACUGUUGGGACCAACCUACACAAUCUGUGAAAAUUUCAAUGUAAUCGGUUCAGCCGUUUUUGAGUAUAUACGGAACAAAUAAACAAACCGACAAGAAAUUCCAAAA